UUCUGAGUCACUUGGGGAUCUUGGUGAAAUGCAGACUGAUUCAGUAGGUCUGUGAUGGGUUUGAGAUUCUGCAUGUUUAACAGACUCCUAGGUAAUUCCAAU
This 102-nucleotide microRNA precursor is filed under the name Marmota monax (woodchuck). The record is from RNAcentral. Lineage: Eukaryota; Metazoa; Chordata; Mammalia; Rodentia; Sciuridae.